AUUUAUAUAGUUUAAGUAAAAAACAUUACAUUUUCAUUGUAAAAACAAAUAAUUCGUUUUAUAAAUA
This 67-nucleotide transfer RNA is filed under the name Phyllothelys sp. 1 JZ-2017. RNAcentral's name for it is "tRNA-Glu". The record is from RNAcentral. RNAcentral also lists the same sequence under 1 other name. Lineage: Eukaryota; Metazoa; Arthropoda; Insecta; Mantodea; Hymenopodidae.